UAGUCGCAAGUUAAAUUUAAAGGUCACAGUUUAAACAUAAUCCAUGUGUGUUUUAGCCCCCUGUUGUAAUACACAUGUACAUAUGACCACUGGCGAAAUUGUGCUUGCCACAAAUUAAGUGAAGGGAGUGGAGAAACCUCCAAGAAGAAGAAUUUAAAGGUCUUUAUUGGAUUUUCUGUGUAUUCUACAUUGUUCUGAAUGCAAACUUACAAGAAAUAUACUGAAUUAAUAUCUUCAUAUAAGAAUGUACAUUAAUUACUAAUAGUCAUAAGGUGGAGCUGAUAGCAACUUGCCUCUAAUGUAUAGUUGACAACCUUAAGUUCUCCAAAAAGUGGAAAGCAUUGUUUAAUAGCAAUUUGCAAAUAGUGGAAACCUUAACUGCUGAAAGUGACCAAAAAUAUUACUUGUUGCUUCCUACAUGAUCCCUAGAUUGGAAAACAUUUAUGAAUGGUAGAUGCAUAGAAAAUACUGGAAAAACAAAAAUGUUUAUUUUCAUCAAAUUCCCAGAAAGAGGCUAAAAAUCAACAUUCAUAUUCAACAUUCUUCUGGAAGCAAGUGCUUACGAAAAUACAGGCCAUUUUCGAAAACGUUCUUUUCCAAACUAUCUAAUACUAAAGUUUGAUAAUUAAUUGUGAUGAAACUAUGGUAGCUACAAACUUGUAUUUACACUCAUUUUAAUCUCUCUAUAUCUCUUCUGAGAGUUGGUGUAUACGAAAAUGCAUUUAAUUUUCGAGGACGCUAUUUCCCCAACUCAUUUGUGAAAUACCAAAGUUUGUUAAUCACUUACGACGACGCCUUUGUAGCUACAAAUUAACAUUUACAUUCAUUUUGAUACGUGUAUAUGCAAGAUCAACAUCCAUUUAUAAAAUUCUUCUGGUAGCUCAAGUUUAAGAAAAUACAGGCCAUUAUCUAAGUCGUUGUUUUCCUAAUUUUUCUGCAAAUUGUAUAUGUAUGUUUGGUUGCCUGUACUUUAGGCGCGUAAUAUGAAUGUUCCUCUAAAAUAGAAUAAAAACCAUAGCUGGCGAAAUUGUGCAAGACGCGCAAGCCAAGUGAAGUGUGGAUAGGAAAAGGAAGUAGAAGUAAAAUAGAUAUAGUUUAAAAUAAGUGAAAAUAUAGAUUGAUAGUUAUAUAAAAUACUUUCUGGGAAUUUGAUGAAAAAAAAACAUUUUUGUUUUCCCAGUAUUUUCUAUGCAUCACAAAUGUUUUCCAAUCUCUAAGGAUCAUGUACGAAGCAACAAUAGAAGCAUGGGUGCUAUAGGGUUCAUUGUUGUUACCCAUCUCCUUAAUGAAGUAAUAUUUAUGGUUACAUUCAGCA
Nicrophorus vespilloides is the source of this 1315-nucleotide long non-coding RNA. RefSeq lists it as uncharacterized. The record is from RefSeq and is a predicted model, not a curated record. The transcript is spliced from 3 exons. NCBI's taxonomy places the organism in Eukaryota, Metazoa, Arthropoda, Insecta, Coleoptera, Silphidae.